UGCCACGGUGACGUAACGGGGGACGGUUCGCAAGGGUGGGGGGUGAAACCCGCUAAUGAUCCUUCCGUAGGUGAACCUGCGGAGGGAUCAUUAGCGAGUUUUCAACUCCCAACCCUUGCGAACCGUACCCCCGUUCCGUUCUCGUUGCUUCUGGCGGGAGGGGAGGGGCGCGCCCUUCGGGGCGCGCCUCUCUCCCCCAGGUCCCUGCGGGGCGCCCGCCAGCGGCCGCGAGCCGCUCGAACCUUUUUUUUAAACCGUAACGAACCGUCUGAGAAACAAACAAAAACAGCCAAAACUUUCAACAACGGAUCUCUUGGCUCUGGCAUCGAUGAAGAACGCAGCGAAAUGCGAUACGUAAUGCGAAUUGCAGAAUUCAGCGAGUCAUCGAAUCUUUGAACGCACAUUGCGCCCGCCAGCAUUCUGGCGGGCAUGCCUGUCCGAGCGUCAUUUCCCCCCUCAGCGCAACCUUCUGGGUGCGCUGGCGUUGGGGCUCCUCCGCCCUCUGUGGCGGCAGGGCCCUCAAAACCAGUGGCGGGCCCGUCUGGCUGGCUCCGAGCGCAGUACCGAACGCAAGUUCUCACUCUCGCUUCGUAGCUCCCGGCCGGCGCCCAGCCGUCAAGCCGCGCAGGCGACUCUUUCAGGGCCGCCUCGCACUUUUUUACAAGGUUGACCUCGGAUCAGGUAGGACUACCCGCUGAACUUAAGCAUAUCAAUAAGCG
RNAcentral lists this ribosomal RNA (719 nucleotides) under Ophiostoma album. RNAcentral describes it as "eukaryotic LSU rRNA". The stretch from base 294 to 447 matches the Rfam family "5.8S ribosomal RNA". Lineage: Eukaryota; Fungi; Ascomycota; Sordariomycetes; Ophiostomatales; Ophiostomataceae. The record is from RNAcentral.